This 1475-nucleotide ribosomal RNA is filed under the name Candidatus Pelagibacter sp. Its description in RNAcentral is "bacterial SSU rRNA". It matches the Rfam family "Bacterial small subunit ribosomal RNA". The record is from RNAcentral. Lineage: Bacteria; Pseudomonadati; Pseudomonadota; Alphaproteobacteria; Candidatus Pelagibacterales; Candidatus Pelagibacteraceae.
AAACUUGAGAGUUUGAUCAUGGCUCAGAACGUACGCUGGCGGCACGCCUAACACAUGCAAGUCGAACGAAGUAGCAAUACUUAGUGGCAGACGGGUGAGUAACAUGUAGGUAUCUGCCCUUUGGCCUGGAAUAACACGAGGAAACUUGUGCUAAUACCGGAUAAGUCUUUACGGAGAAAGCUUUAUGCACCAUUGGAUGAGCCUGCACUUGAUUAGUUUGUUGGUAGGGUAAUGGCCUACCAAGACUGUGAUCAAUAGCUGAUUUGAGAGGAUGAUCAGCCACAUUGGGACUGAGACACGGCCCAAACUCCUACGGGAGGCAGCAGUGGGGAAUCUUGCACAAUGGAGGAAACUCUGAUGCAGCGAUGCCGCGUGAGUGAAGAAGGCCUUUGGGUUGUAAAGCUCUUUCGUCGGGGAAGAAAAUGACUGUACCCGAAUAAGAAGGUCCGGCUAACUUCGUGCCAGCAGCCGCGGUAAUACGAAGGGACCUAGCGUAGUUCGGAAUUACUGGGCUUAAAGAGUUCGUAGGUGGUUGAAAAAGUUGGUGGUGAAAUCCCAGAGCUUAACUCUGGAACUGCCAUCAAAACUUUUCAGCUAGAGUAUGAUAGAGGAAAGCAGAAUUUCUAGUGUAGAGGUGAAAUUCGUAGAUAUUAGAAAGAAUACCAAUUGCGAAGGCAGCUUUCUGGAUCAUUACUGACACUGAGGAACGAAAGCAUGGGUAGCGAAGAGGAUUAGAUACCCUCGUAGUCCAUGCCGUAAACGAUGUGUGUUAGACGUUGGAAAUUUAUUUUCAGUGUCGCAGCGAAAGCGAUAAACACACCGCCUGGGGAGUACGACCGCAAGGUUAAAACUCAAAUGAAUUGACGGGGACCCGCACAAGUAGUGGAGCAUGUGGUUUAAUUCGAAGAUACGCGCAGAACCUUACCAACACUUGACAUGUUCGUCACGACUCUAAGAGAUUAGAGUUUUCGGUUCGGCCGGACGAAACACAGGUGCUGCAUGGCUGUCGUCAGCUCGUGUCGUGAGAUGUUGGGUUAAGUCCCGCAACGAGCGCAACCCUCACUUUUAGUUGCCAUCAUUAAGUUGGGCACUCUGAAAGAACUGCCAGUGAUAAGCUGGAGGAAGGUGGGGAUGACGUCAAGUCCUCAUGGCCCUUACGUGUUGGGCUACACACGUGCUACAAUGGUAUCUACAACAGGAAGCAAGACUGCGAGGUCAAGCAAAUCCUUAAAAGAUACCUCAGUUCGGAUUGCACUCUGCAACUCGAGUGCAUGAAGCUGGAAUUACUAGUAAUCGUGGAUCAGCGUGCCACGGUGAAUGCGUUCCCGGGUCUUGUACACACCGCCCGUCACACCAUGGGAGUUGGUUCUACCUUAAGGCAAGGUUUAAAACCCUUGACCACGGUAUAGUCAGCGACUGGGGUGAAGUCGUAACAAGGUAGCCGUAGGGGAACCUGCGGCUGGAUUACCUCCUUU